Molecule: ribosomal RNA, 253 nt
Filed under: uncultured bacterium
Lineage: Bacteria
Description: partial 16S ribosomal RNA
Rfam family: Bacterial small subunit ribosomal RNA
Source: RNAcentral
UACAGAGGAUGCAAGCGUUAUCCGGAAUGAUUGGGCGUAAAGCGCUUGUAGGUGGCUUUUUAAGUCCGCCGUCAAAUCCCAGGGCUCAACUCUGGACAGGCGGUGGAAACUACCAAGCUGGAGUACGGUAGGGGCAGAGGGAAUUUCCGGUGGAGCGGUGAAAUGCGUUGAUAUCGAUAGGAACUCCGGUGGCGAAGGCGGCAUACUGGUCCACUUCUGACGCUGAGGCGCGAAAGCCAGGGGAGCAAACGGG